This is a long non-coding RNA of Olea europaea var. sylvestris, 349 nucleotides long. RefSeq lists it as uncharacterized. The transcript is spliced from 2 exons. NCBI's taxonomy places the organism in Eukaryota, Viridiplantae, Streptophyta, Magnoliopsida, Lamiales, Oleaceae. The record is from RefSeq and is a predicted model, not a curated record.
AGGAAAUGACGAGAAGAUUGAAAUCAUGAUUAAUCCAUAACUUGAUAGCAGCCGAAUUGUGCAGCUUUGGAGCUUGUUAAACCACCAAAUUGUGCCAUGCUUCAUAGAUUGACAUCCUUUAUCAGAUUAUAAAGAAUGUGUUCUUUCGGGGUAUAUGUAUCUUAAAUCAGAAAAAUUCAUCAUGGGCUCAUUACAUAUUUUACGUAUUUGGUAUAUUUGAGGAUUGUUGGUUGUAAAGCAAGUAAAUAUUGAUGGCCAGCAUUUCAUUUGAAUAGUUUGUAUUUUGAGGGACUGACGUAUCCUAUUGUAUAUUAUAGGUAUUGAAUUGAGGAAACUUAGUUAUUGUCCA